GUGUGUUGCAUAAUACCAUAAAGAGAUUUAAUUAGGGGUGAUAGGCCUCCCAAGAGCUAAGAUAUCUUGAUAGUCCUGAAAUGUAUUUAGUACAUAAGUCAGAUAUAAAGUGGUCAGGCUUUAUAAAAUCUUCAAACCUAUUGUUUAGAGAUUAUGGUUUAAACGCCAUUUAUUUUCAGACUUUAAUAUAUAUCUUUAGGUGUUUAAGAUGAAUAGGGACCACUAACAAAACAGUAGCUAUUAGUUAUAAUGUUAUUAUAAGUAUUAUACCAGACGGCCAUCAUGAACUCGGCAAUUUUUACCCUCAACUGUUUACCAAAAACAUAGCUAUAUGUUGACACAUAUAUAGUUUUUUCUGCUCAAUGUAAUAUAAAUAGCCGCAGUACCCUGACUGUGCAAAGGUAGCAUAAUCAGUUGGCUUAUAAUUGAAGUCUAGUAUGAAGGAAGGCAUGGGGGUGAGCUAUAUAAUAGCCGUGGUUAGAAAUUACUUACUAAGUGAAAAUACUUACCAAAAAAUAAUAGACGAGAAGACCCUAGAAAUUUUGAGGAGAGCGUUAAGGUUUUUUGGUUUUUGUUGGGGCGACACAGUAGCACUUAACCUACUAAGAAUAAUGAGAUUAUUGUCUUAUGAUUAAUUAAAUUACUCUAGGGAUAACAGCAUAAUAUUGAAAAGUUUGUGACCUCGAUGUUGGACUAGGAUACUAUAACCCAGAAGGUUAUUAUUAAAGCUCUGUUCGAGCUAUUGACUCCUACAUGAUCUGAGUUCAGACCGGCGUAAGCCAGGUCAGUUUCU
This 793-nucleotide ribosomal RNA is filed under the name Karaftohelix fragilis. RNAcentral's name for it is "partial 16S ribosomal RNA". Lineage: Eukaryota; Metazoa; Mollusca; Gastropoda; Stylommatophora; Camaenidae. The record is from RNAcentral.